Molecule: ribosomal RNA, 491 nt
Filed under: uncultured bacterium
Lineage: Bacteria
Description: bacterial SSU rRNA
Rfam family: Bacterial small subunit ribosomal RNA
Source: RNAcentral
AACGAACGCUGGCGGCGUGCUUAACACAUGCAAGUCGAACGCGAACGAUUUUCUUCGGAGAAUCUAGUAGAGUGGCGCACGGGUGAGUAACGCGUAAGUUAUCUACCCUCCCAUCUGGAAUAACUCACCGAAAGGUGUGCUAAUACCGGAUACGUUGGAAACAAGAAAGGUGGCCUCUUAUAAGCUACCGUGGGGGGAUGAGCUUGCGUACCAUUAGCUAGUUGGUAGGGUAAUGGCCUACCAAGGCAACGAUGGUUAGCGGGUCUGAGAGGAUGAUCCGCCACACUGGAACUGGAACACGGACCAGACUCCUACGGAGGCAGCAGUGAGGAAUAUUGCGCAAUGGGGGAAACCCUGACGCAGCGACGCCGCGUGGAUGAUGAAGGCCCUUGGGUCGUAAAAUCCUGUCAGAAGGAAGAAUGCUAUAGUAUUAAUACUGCUAUAGUUUGACGGUACCUUCAAAGGAAGCACCGGCUAACUCCGUGCCAGCG